AAUACACAUAAAAUUUAAUGUUUUAUGUGGCAUCACAUUUACAGUACAUUCACAGUGUUGUGCAAUCAUUAUCUCUCUUCAGUUCUAGAAGUUUUUCAUCAUUCCAGAUGGAAAAACUCUGUGCCAUUAAGAAGUCACUCUUCAUUGCUCCCUGCUCCCACUGGCACCUGCUAAUAUGGUCUCUAUUACUACGGAUUUUACCUAUUCUGGAUACUUCAUAUAAAUUGAAUCAUACAGUAUGUGUUUCAUUUUGUCUUACUUCUUUCAUUUAGUAUGAUGUUUUCAAAGUUUGUCUAUGUUAUAAAAUAUAUCUGUACUUUAUGAAUAAUAUUCCAUUGCAUGGAUGUACAACAUUCUGUUUAUCCAUGUAUUCAUUGAGAGACAUUUGAAUUAUUUCCACUUUUUGGCUAUUGUAUGUAGUACAUCUAUGAGCAUAUUUAUUCAAUGUUUUGUUUGAACACCUGUUUUCAGUUAUUUUGGGCAUAUACCUAAGUCAUGUGGUAAUUCUGUUUCACUUGUUGAGAAAUGACCAAAUUCUUUUUCACAGUAGCCGCACCAUUUUAGCAAUGUAUGGGAUUUUCUCUACACCUUUACUAAUGCUUAUUACUACCUGUCUUCUUUGUUGUUGUUAUUAUAGCCAUCCUAGUAGGCAUGAAGUGAUGUCACAUUGUGGCUUAAAUUUGCACUUUUUUGUUGGUACUGGUGAUUAAACCUAGGGGCACUUAAACACUGAGUUACAGCUCCAGUCCAUUUAUUUUGAGACAGGGUCUCACUAAGUUAUUGAGGGCCUCCCUAAAUUGCUGAGGCUGGUCUUGAAUUUGCAGUCCUCCUGCCUCAGGCUCCUGAGUCACUGGGAUUACAGUAUUUGUACCACUGUGCUUGGCAGAUUUGCAUUUUUUGACAGUUAAUGAUAUUAAACAUCUUUUCAUAUGCUUCUUGCCCUUUUGCAUACUUCUGUAGAGUAAUGUCAAAUGGAAUCUUUGCUCUUUUAAAAGUUGGCUUAUCUUUUUGUUGUUGAGUUGUAGUCAUUUUUUUAAUAUAUUUGAGAUACUAGAUACUUAUCAAAUAGAUGAUUUGCAAAUAUUUUCUCUCAUUCUCUGGUUUGUAUUUUCACUUUCCCAAUUUCUGGGGUUUUUUUUGUGUGUGACAGCCUUGUUGAGAUAGAAUCAAUAUGCCAUACAUUUCAAACACUUAAAUUUUGUGAUUUUAAUCUUUUUUAGUAUAUUCAGUCAUGCAUCUGUCACCACAAUAAAUUUCUAAACAUUUUCAUCACCCCCAAAAGAAAUCUUGUAUAUUUUGCAAUUAAUCCCCACUGAAUUUUUCAAGGUAGAUUUUGCUUGAUGUAUUUGUAGUUGACCUUUAGAGGAGCUGAGUUCUGUAGUCAGGCUGAGAAACAAGUUUAUGGUAAAAGUUUACACUCUAUAAUACAGAUAAGAUAGCUUUCCUGGUAUAAAUGCAGUUAUAGAGUGCUCGGAAAUGAUCCUCUGAGAUAUUGCUUUAUAAAAACAAUAAUAACCUUGUAUUUACAUUUCUUAAGGGAUCCACACCCUGAUUAAUGCCUAUGGAGGCCAAAUAUAUACACACUAAAAGCACUUUCAUAAGGCCAAUUCAUUCCAGGUAGAUUGUUUUGUAAAAGGAUUAUUCUCAUUUGUAUUUGUAUUGACUUCCUUUUUUUUAUUCAUAUUGACUUCUAAUGCUUCUUUCAAUUUUUAAAUUCAUUCAGGAAAGUAAUAAACUGAAAGGAGAUUGAGAGCCCCUUAAUUCUAAAUUUGUUAUUCACUAUUAGUAAAGUUGGAGUCACCAACAUUGCAACACAGCUAUCCAAAAGGCUCCAAUGGGCAGUUUUCAAUUGAGCCUUACAGAUGCCGGUAUCUGUGUGGCAUUUUGAAUACUAGGAUCUGAUCCAUCAUUUUAUAUGUCCAGAAACUCAAUAUCAAUCUUAUCAUUUUAUCCAAAGUUGAUCAGAUUCAGAGCUAACUUGAAUUCUAUAUCUAAUAGACCAAAAAUACUAUCAUAUUAAUUAAUGUCUCUUAAAUAUAUGUAGCAUUUUUCUUUGUUUUUUGUUUGUUUGUAUCAUGGAUUGAAUCCAGGGGCACUUAACCUCUGAGCCACAUCCCCAGACCUUUUUUGUUAUUUUAUUUAGAGACAAAGUCUUGCUGAAUUACUUAGGGCCUUGUUAAGUUGCUGAGGCUGACUUUGAACGCAAGAUCCUCCUGCCUCAGCCUCCCAAACCACUGGGAUUGCAGGUGUGCACCACUGCACCUGGCUUUCUUUCUUUAUUUUUCAAGAAUGAUUAAAAAAAUUUUUAGUUAUAGAUGGACACAAUAUCUUUAUUUUUAUUUAUUUUUAUGUGUUACUUAGGAUCAAAUCCAGUGCCACACUGCAAACACUCCACCACUAUGCUAUAACCCUAGCCCUCUUUGUUUUAAUAACCCCACUUUUUUCUAAUUAAAUGCAACACAGGUUUGGUGAAAAUGCAGCUUGAGAAACAAAAUGAUUAAAAAUACAAACUGCACCAGGUGUAGUAGUGGCACAUGCCUAUUAUCCCAGAUCCUCAGGAGGCUGAGGCAGGAAGAUUGCAAGUUUGAGGCCAGUUUGGGCAACUUAGCAAGACCCUGUCUCAAAAUUAAAAUGAAAAGAGCUGGGGUUCAGCUCAGCAGUACAGCGCUAUAUAUGGUAAACAAACAAACAAAAAACACUGCAAUUAUAUUCCUAAUUAUGUAUCUAAAAGAAUUAAAGCAAGGACUCAGAUACUUAUACAUGCAUAUUUAUAACAUCAUUCAUGAUGGCCAAAAAGUGGAGGUUGCCCAAAUGUCCAUGACAAAAUGAAUAGAUAAACAAAAUAUAGCAUACACAUGCAACAGAAUACUAUUCAGCCUUAAAAAGGAAGGAAAUUCUGACAUAUGCUAAAACAUAGAUGAACCUCAAGGACAUUAUACUAAGUGAAAUAAACUAGACCCUUUUAAUCUGUUCUGUUCUUUUCUCUAAAACCUUUAUGAUUUUGGCCUACGUUUUCUUUUCCAGGUGACCAGAACAAUGUUGAAAGGAAGAAAGGAAGCUAUAGUAACAUGCAAAGCAGAUCUGUCUUUAGGAAAUAGUCUGCUUGGAUCCAGAUUCAAGAGUUGGAUCUUUUCAUUCAACUUACAUUUUAUGGGUACCAUCAUGUGUCACUUACCCAAGGUAUACAUUCUGAAAACUUCAUCAUCGGGUAUCACUGUUAUGAACAUCAUAGAGUAUACUCACACAAACUUACAUGGUAUAGCCUACAACAAAUCUAGGAUAUGGCAUAUACCAUCAUGUAUGCAUUGACUAAACCAUAGUUAUUGGCUCAUGGUGGUACUUUUGCCAAGUAUUUUUUGAGAUUAGGAUAAGAGUUGAAUAAGAUUUAGUCCCCGCCCUGGAAGAGUUCAUAUUUUUGUGAGAAAUACAAAUAUAUAAACAAAUAAUUACCAUAUUAAACAUUGUAAGUACUAGAAUAGAGGUAUUCUAGAAACAUAUGUGAGCCUAAAGUAUCAGAAAAAAAUCCUCAUGGAUAGAAUAUUUGAGCUAAAUAUUGAAGCAUAAGGAGAAAUUUACUAGGCAGACAUUAGAAAGAAUGCCAUGAGGAAGGGUAGAGAAGGAAAAGAAACAUGAAUUAUUUGGAAACCAUCAGAAAGUUUCCCCUAAUUAUAAUGGUACAUGUAUGAUGAUGAAAUUGUAAAGGUAGAAUGACAUUAUAAAAAAUCAUGGAGUUUGGGUUUUAUCGUGUUAAUUACAAACUUCACUUACUCAUAUUCUUUUUUCUUUAAAUACAUGACAAUAGUGGAAUGCAUUACACUCAUUAUUGCCCAUGUACAGCACAAUUUUUUGUAACUCCGUAUAUAAAGUAUGUUCACACCAAAUUAUGCCAUUAUACAUGUACUCUUUUUUUUUUUUGCAUUGAAAUUCUUUUUUUUAAAUAUUUAUUUUUUAGGUGUAGAUGAACACAACACAAUGCCUUUAUUUUUAUGUGGUGCUGAGGAUGGAACCCAGGUCCCGCCCAUGCUAGGCGAGCGCUCUACCACUGAGCCACAAUCCCAGCCUCUGCAUUACAAUUCUUAAUACACAUAUAUACCACAAUUUUUCAUAUGUCUGUUUAUAUAUAAGGUAUGUUGACACCAAAUUCAGAUCUUUAUACAUGUAUUUUGUAUAAUGAUGACCCUCACAUUCCACCAUCCUUGCUAUUUUAGUUGUAUAUGAACACAAUGCCUUUGCUUAUUUAUUUUUAUGUGAUGCUAAGGAUUGAACCCCGUUCCCCACAUGUGCUAGGCAAGUGCUCUACCACUGAGCUGCAACCUCAGGCCUUACUUCUCAUAUUCUAUCUUCAACAUUUUAAUGUCUAAAAAUUAGGCAAUAGUAUCUUUGAAUUCAUGUGUUUUAUGAUGUGU
This 4406-nucleotide long non-coding RNA is filed under the name Marmota monax (woodchuck). Lineage: Eukaryota; Metazoa; Chordata; Mammalia; Rodentia; Sciuridae. The record is from RNAcentral.